GACGAACGCUGGCGGCGUGCUUAACACAUGCAAGUCGAGCGGUAAGGCCCUUUCGGGGGUACACGAGCGGCGAACGGGUGAGUAACACGUGGGUGACCUGCCCUUAGCUCUGGGAUAAGCCUGGGAAACUGGGUCUAAUACCGGAUAUGACUCCAUGACGCAUGUUGUGGGGUGGAAAGCCUUGUGCGGCUAGGGAUGGGCCCGCGGCCUAUCAGCUUGUUGGUGGGGUGAUGGCCUACCAAGGCGACGACGGGUAGCCGGCCUGAGAGGGCGACCGGCCACACUGGGACUGAGACACGGCCCAGACUCCUACGGGAGGCAGCAGUGGGAAUCUUGCGCAAUGGGCGAAAGCCUGACGCAGCGACGCCGCGUGAGGGAUGACGGCCU
Molecule: ribosomal RNA, 387 nt
Filed under: uncultured bacterium
Lineage: Bacteria
Description: bacterial SSU rRNA
Rfam family: Bacterial small subunit ribosomal RNA
Source: RNAcentral